GAUGAACGCUGGCGGCGUGCCUAAUACAUGCAAGUCGAGCGGUAAGGCCUCUUCGGAGGUACACGAGCGGCGGACGGCUGAGUAACGCGUAGGAAUGUACCCCAAAGUGAGGGAUAAGCACCAGAAAUGGUGUCUAAUACCGCAUGUGAUCCACGGAUUAAAGCUUUAUGCGCUUUGGGAACAGCCCGCGCCCGAUUAGCUAGUUGGUAGUGUAAUGGGCUACCAAGGCGAUGAUCGGUAGCUGGUCUGAGAGGAUGAUCAGCCAGACUGGGACUGAGACACGGCCCAGACUCCCACGGGAGGCAGCAGUAGGGAAUUUUCCACAAUGGGGGCAACCCUGAUGGAGCAACGCCGCGUGCAGGAUGAAUGCCUUCGGGUUGUAAACUGCUUUUAUCUGUGACGAUUAUGACGGUAGCAGAUGAAUAAGGACCUGCUAACUACGUGCCAGCCGCCGCGGUAA
RNAcentral lists this ribosomal RNA (460 nucleotides) under uncultured bacterium. Its description in RNAcentral is "partial 16S ribosomal RNA". It matches the Rfam family "Bacterial small subunit ribosomal RNA", at positions 28 to 523 of the family's 1533-position model. The record is from RNAcentral.